GCUGUCGUCAGCUCGUGUCGUGAGAUGUUGGGUUAAGUCCCGCAACGAGCGCAACCCUUGUCUUCUGUUGCCAUCAGGUCAAGCUGGGCACUCUGAAGAGACUGCCGGUGACAAACCGGAGGAAGGUGGGGAUGACGUCAAGUCAGCAUGGCCUUUAUGUCUGGGGCCACACACGUGCUACAAUGGCAGGUACAAACCGUCGCGAGACCGCAAGGUGGAGCUAAUCGGAGAAAGCCUGUCUCAGUUCGGAUUGUAGGCUGCAACUCGCCUGCAUGAAGUUGGAAUCGCUAGUAAUCGCGGAUCAGCACGCCGCGGUGAAUACGUUCCCGGGCCUUGUACACACCGCCCGUCACAUCACGAAAGCUGGCUGUACUAGAAGUCGCCGAGCUAACCCGCAAGGGAGGCAGGUGCCUAAGGUAU
RNAcentral lists this ribosomal RNA (420 nucleotides) under uncultured Acidobacteriota bacterium. Its description in RNAcentral is "bacterial SSU rRNA". It matches the Rfam family "Bacterial small subunit ribosomal RNA", at positions 1048 to 1465 of the family's 1533-position model. Lineage: Bacteria; Pseudomonadati; Acidobacteriota. The record is from RNAcentral.